GAUGAACGCUGGCGGCGUGCCUAAAACAUGCAAGUCGAGCGGCAGCGAGUUCCUCGCUAAUGUUCGGAUUUGUUUACCAAUGAUGCAAGUAAUUUAGUCAGAGUAACAAAGUAACGACUAGUUGUUUAAGUUAAAAGGUAGAUUUAAUAUUCCGGAUAUGAGCGAGGAAUGUCGGCGAGCGGCGGACGGCUGAGUAGCGCGUAGGAACAUACCCCAAAGUGAGGCAUAACCGCCCGAAAGGGUGGCUAAUACCGCAUAUUGUCUUCGGAUGAAAGCUUUUAGCGCUUUGGGAAUGGCCUGCGUUUGAUUAGCUAGUUGGUGAGGUAAGGGCUUACCAAGGCGAUGAUCAAUAGCUGGUUUGAGAGAAUGAUCAGCCAGACUGGAACUGAGACACGGUCCAGACUCCUACGGGAGGCAGCAGUUGGGAAUUUUCCACAAUGGGCGAAAGCCUGAUGGAGCAACGCCGCGUGCAGGAAGAAUGCCUUCGGGUUGUAACG
RNAcentral lists this ribosomal RNA (497 nucleotides) under uncultured bacterium. RNAcentral describes it as "bacterial SSU rRNA". It matches the Rfam family "Bacterial small subunit ribosomal RNA", at positions 28 to 430 of the family's 1533-position model. The record is from RNAcentral.